RNAcentral lists this non-coding RNA (636 nucleotides) under Pongo abelii (Sumatran orangutan). Lineage: Eukaryota; Metazoa; Chordata; Mammalia; Primates; Hominidae. The record is from RNAcentral.
AGUUCUUCGCCAGGCUGUGGAGUCUGCACACUGGAUUCAUGACCUUCCCCGAGUUCUGGCCAGGAAGCUUCUUGCCCAAUUCAAAUGGUUACAAAGUUCAGCUGGAGAUUUCCUUCUUCCCGUGGCAUUUUCCUGUUGCUCCUCUGGCCACCCUCCCAAUGGAUCCCUGUGGUCCAUGGCAGGAAUGGCUUGCUUGGGGACCCAGUGAGCUCCUAGAGCCCUUCUGCUACUUCUUCUACCCCUGUAUUUUACACAGCUGUCUAAAUUGACUCAGCGCCAGGUCUGCUGCAGUUUGCUGGAGGUCCACUCCAGACCCUAUUUACCUGGAUAUCACCAGCGGAGGCUGCAGAAUAGCAAAGAUUGCUUCCUGGUCCUUCCUCUGGAAGCUUCAUCCCAGAGGGGCACUGGCCUGAUGUCAGCUGGAGCUCUCCUGUAUGAGAUUUUCUGUAAAUGCUGCCUACCCCCACUGCCUCUGCCUGAUGACGUCCUCUGGGUGCUUGUGUGAGAAUCAUGCAGUGACCACAUCAUCACCCACAGCUGAUGACUCAGAGUGGACCCCCUAUUCAGCCCAGAGCAGGAACCCAAGCCUAUGAAGUGAACUGUAGGAUGUGGUAUCAGCCAGUAGAGGUACUGGAG